AGCUUGCUUCUAUGACGUUAGCGGCGGACGGGUGAGUAACACGUGGGCAACCUGCCUGUAAGACUGGGAUAACUCCGGGAAACCGGAGCUAAUACCGGAUAACAUUUUUUCUUGCAUAAGAGAAAAUUGAAAGAUGGUUUCGGCUAUCACUUACAGAUGGGCCCGCGGUGCAUUAGCUAGUUGGUGAGGUAACGGCUCACCAAGGCAACGAUGCAUAGCCGACCUGAGAGGGUGAUCGGCCACACUGGGACUGAGACACGGCCCAGACUCCUACGGGAGGCAGCAGUAGGGAAUCUUCCGCAAUGGACGAAAGUCUGACGGAGCAACGCCGCGUGAGUGAUGAAGGCUUUCGGGUCGUAAAACUCUGUUGUUAGGGAAGAACAAGUACAAGAGUAACUGCUUGUACCUUGACGGUACCUAACCAGAAAGCCACGGCUAACUACGUGCCAGCAGCCGCGGUAAUACGUAGGUGGCAAGCGUUAUCCGGAAUUAUUGGGCGUAAAGCGCGCGCAGGCGGUUUCUUAAGUCUGAUG
Molecule: ribosomal RNA, 533 nt
Filed under: Priestia flexa
Lineage: Bacteria; Bacillati; Bacillota; Bacilli; Caryophanales; Bacillaceae
Description: bacterial SSU rRNA
Rfam family: Bacterial small subunit ribosomal RNA
Source: RNAcentral